Molecule: ribosomal RNA, 274 nt
Filed under: uncultured bacterium
Lineage: Bacteria
Description: partial 16S ribosomal RNA
Rfam family: Bacterial small subunit ribosomal RNA
Source: RNAcentral
AUACGGAGGGUGCAAGCGUUAUCCGGAAUCAUUGGGUUUAAAGGGUCCGCAGUCGGUCAAUUAAGUCAGAGGUGAAAUCCCAUUGCUCAACAAUGGAACUGCCUUUGAUACUGGUUGACUUGAGUUAUACGGAAGUAGAUAGAAUGUGUAGUGUAGCGGUGAAAUGCAUAGAGAUUACACAGAAUACCGAUUGCGAAGGCAGUCUACUACGUAUAUACUGACGCUGAGGGACGAAAGCGUGGGGAGCGAACAGGAUUAGAAACCCCAGUAGUCC